GAGGAGCGGGCGCUCGGCGUGGCGCGCCGGCUCAGGACCGGUCAGGUGGCGGUCAACGGCGGCCGGUUCAACCCGCUCGCGCCGUUC
This 87-nucleotide transfer RNA is filed under the name Microtetraspora sp. NBRC 16547. Its description in RNAcentral is "tRNA-Leu". Lineage: Bacteria; Bacillati; Actinomycetota; Actinomycetes; Streptosporangiales; Streptosporangiaceae. The record is from RNAcentral.